GAUGAACGCUGGCGGCGUGCCUAAUACAUGCAAGUCGAGCGACCAGACGAGGAGCUUGCUCCUCUGUAGUUAGCGGCGGACGGGUGAGUAACACGUGGAUAACCUACCUAUAAGACUGGGAUAACUUCGGGAAACCGGCGCUAAUAGCGGAUCAGAUAUUCAACCGCAUGGGUCUAUAGUGAUAGACGCUUUUGCGGUCACGUAUAGAUGGAUCCGCGCCGCAUUAGCUAGUUGGGAAGGGAACCGCUUACCAAGGCGACGAUACCUAGCCGACCUGAGAGGGGGCCAGGCCACCCGGGAACUGACCCACCCCUCAGACCCCUACGGGAGUGAGCAGUAGGGAAUCUGCCGCAGUGCGCGAAAGCCUUCCGGAGCCCCGCCGCGUGAGGCAUGAAGGUCUUCGGAUCGUAACACUCUCUUAUUAGUGAAGAACAAAUGUGUAAGUAACUAUGCACGUCUUGACGGUACCUAAUCAGAAAGCCACGGCUAACUACUUG
Molecule: ribosomal RNA, 497 nt
Filed under: uncultured bacterium
Lineage: Bacteria
Description: partial 16S ribosomal RNA
Rfam family: Bacterial small subunit ribosomal RNA
Source: RNAcentral